Molecule: ribosomal RNA, 497 nt
Filed under: uncultured bacterium
Lineage: Bacteria
Description: partial 16S ribosomal RNA
Rfam family: Bacterial small subunit ribosomal RNA
Source: RNAcentral
GACGAACGCUGGCGGCGUGCCUAAUACAUGCAAGUUGGGCGCUGAAGGUUGGUACUUGUACCAACUGGAUGAGCAGCGAACGGGUGAGUAACGCGUGGGGAAUCUGCCUUUGAGCGGGGGACAACAUUUGGAAACGAAUGCUAAUACCGCAUAAAAACUUUAAACACAAGUUUUAAGUUUGAAAGAUGCAAUUGCAUCACUCAAAGAUGAUCCCGCGUUGUAUUAGCUAGUUGGUGAGGUAAAGGCUCACCAAGGCGAUGAUACAUAGCCGACCUGAGAGGGUGAUCGGCCACAUUGGGACUGAGACACGGCCCAAACUCCUACGGGAGGCAGCAGUAGGGAAUCUUCGGCAAUGGACGAAAGUCUGACCGAGCAACGCCGCGUGAGUGAAGAAGGGUUUCGGAUCGUAAAACUCUGUUGGUAGAGAAGAACGUUGGUGAGAGUGGAAAGCUCAUCAAGUGACGGUAACUACCCAGAAAGGGACGGCUAACUACGUG